UGAGGAAUUUUGCGCAAUGGGGGAAACCCUGACGCAGCGACGCCGCGUGGAGGAUGAAGGCCUUCGGGUCGUAAACUCCUGUCAGAGGUGAAGAAUACCCGCAAGGGUUCGACGGUAACCUCAGAGGAAGCCCCGGCUAACUACGUGCCAGCAGCCGCGGUAAUACGUAGGGGGCAAACGUUACUCGGAAUUACUGGGCGUAAAGGGUGCGUAGGCGGCUGGGAAAGUCAAGGAUGAAAUCCCGUGGCUCAACUGCGGAACGGUCCUUGAAACGACUCGGCUUGAGGAUAACCGAAGAGAACGGAAUUCCCGGUGGAGCGGUGAAAUGCGUAGAUAUCGGGAGGAACACCUGAGGCGAAAGCGGUUCUCUAGACUACUCCUGACGCUGAGGCACGAAAGCUAGGGGAGCAAACGG
Molecule: ribosomal RNA, 415 nt
Filed under: uncultured bacterium
Lineage: Bacteria
Description: bacterial SSU rRNA
Rfam family: Bacterial small subunit ribosomal RNA
Source: RNAcentral